UACAGAGGGGGCAAGCGUUGUUCGGAAUUACUGGGCGUAAAGGGCGCGUAGGCGGCCUGCUAAGUCGAACGUGAAAUCCCUGGGCUCAACCCAGGAACUGCGUCCGAUACUGGUUGGCUUGAAUCCGGGAGAGGGAUGUGGAAUUCCAGGUGUAGCGGUGAAAUGCGUAGAUAUCUGGAGGAACACCGGUGGCGAAGGCGACAUCCUGGACCGGUAUUGACGCUGAUGCGCGAAAGCCAGGGGAGCAAACGGG
Molecule: ribosomal RNA, 253 nt
Filed under: uncultured bacterium
Lineage: Bacteria
Description: partial 16S ribosomal RNA
Rfam family: Bacterial small subunit ribosomal RNA
Source: RNAcentral